RNAcentral lists this ribosomal RNA (431 nucleotides) under uncultured bacterium. Its description in RNAcentral is "partial 16S ribosomal RNA". It matches the Rfam family "Bacterial small subunit ribosomal RNA", at positions 29 to 507 of the family's 1533-position model. The record is from RNAcentral.
AACGAACGCUGGCGGCAGGCUUAACACAUGCAAGUCGAACGCCCCGCCAGGGGAGUGGCAGACGGGUGAGUAACGCGUGGGAACAUACCCUUUUCUACGGAAUAGCUCUGGGAAACUGGAAUUAAUACCGUAUACGCCCUACGGGGGAAAGAUUUAUCGGGGAAGGAUUGGCCCGCGUUGGAUUAGCUAGUUGGUGGGGUAAAGGCCUACCAAGGCGACGAUCCAUAGCUGGUCUGAGAGGAUGAUCAGCCACAUUGGGACUGAGACACGGCCCAAACUCCUACGGGAGGCAGCAGUGGGGAAUAUUGGACAAUGGCCGCAAGCCUGAUCCAGCCAUGCCGCGUGAGUGAUGAAGGCCUUAGGGUUGUAAAGCUCUUUCACCGAUGAAGAUAAUGACGGUAGUCGGAGAAGAAGCCCCGGCUAACUUCGUG